UACGGAGGUGGCAAGCGUUGUUCGGAAUCACUGGGCUUAAAGCGCGUGUAGGCGGAGUGCCAAGUGUCUGGUGAAAGCCCCGGGCUCAACCCGGGAAUGGCUGGGCAAACUGGCAUUCUUGAGGCAAGUAGAGGUGACCGGAACGACUGGUGGAGCGGUGAAAUGCGUAGAUAUCAGUUGGAACGCCGGAGGCGAAAGCGGGUCACUGGGCUUGUCCUGACGCUGAGACGCGAAAGCGUGGGGAGCAAACAGG
Molecule: ribosomal RNA, 253 nt
Filed under: uncultured bacterium
Lineage: Bacteria
Description: partial 16S ribosomal RNA
Rfam family: Bacterial small subunit ribosomal RNA
Source: RNAcentral